UUUUAGUUUGAUCCUUAGUUGUUUCAUGAUUUAGAGAAAUAAAUUUCAGAUUUUCUUUGCUUAGGAUUUUUGGUUUCAGUUCCAUCUAUCCUUGUAAUCAAGUAUGCGAGAUAUAUAAUAAACAUUAGUUGAGUUUUUCUUGUUUACCCGUGGGCACCCAUCACCAUAGCAUGUCAAUAGAAAGAAAGAUAGAGAUCAUAUGCUCAUCCCAUGAGAAGUAAUGACAUCAUGCAAAAGGGUAU
RNAcentral lists this long non-coding RNA (242 nucleotides) under Hordeum vulgare. Its description in RNAcentral is "long non-coding RNA (HVUL_LNC008673)". The record is from RNAcentral. Lineage: Eukaryota; Viridiplantae; Streptophyta; Magnoliopsida; Poales; Poaceae.